CAAACGACUCUCGGCAACGGAUAUCCCGGCUCUCGCAUCGAUGAAGAACGUAGCGAAAUGCGAUACUUGGUGUGAAUUGCAGAAUCCCGUGAACCAUCGAGUUUUUGAACGCAAGUUGCGCCCGAUGCCAUUAGGCUGAGGGCACGUCUGCCUGGGUGUCACGUA
Molecule: ribosomal RNA, 165 nt
Filed under: Bupleurum wenchuanense
Lineage: Eukaryota; Viridiplantae; Streptophyta; Magnoliopsida; Apiales; Apiaceae
Description: 5.8S ribosomal RNA
Rfam family: 5.8S ribosomal RNA
About the family: 5.8S ribosomal RNA (5.8S rRNA) is a component of the large subunit of the eukaryotic ribosome. It is transcribed by RNA polymerase I as part of the 45S precursor that also contains 18S and 28S rRNA.
Source: RNAcentral